This 577-nucleotide ribosomal RNA is filed under the name Salmonella enterica. RNAcentral's name for it is "bacterial SSU rRNA". It matches the Rfam family "Bacterial small subunit ribosomal RNA", at positions 66 to 632 of the family's 1533-position model. The record is from RNAcentral. Lineage: Bacteria; Pseudomonadati; Pseudomonadota; Gammaproteobacteria; Enterobacterales; Enterobacteriaceae.
ACGGUAACAGGAAGCAGCUUGCUGCUUCGCUGACGAGUGGCGGACGGGUGAGUAAUGUCUGGGAAACUGCCUGAUGGAGGGGGAUAACUACUGGAAACGGUGGCUAAUACCGCAUAACGUCGCAAGACCAAAGAGGGGGACCUUCGGGCCUCUUGCCAUCAGAUGUGCCCAGAUGGGAUUAGCUUGUUGGUGAGGUAACGGCUCACCAAGGCGACGAUCCCUAGCUGGUCUGAGAGGAUGACCAGCCACACUGGAACUGAGACACGGUCCAGACUCCUACGGGAGGCAGCAGUGGGGAAUAUUGCACAAUGGGCGCAAGCCUGAUGCAGCCAUGCCGCGUGUAUGAAGAAGGCCUUCGGGUUGUAAAGUACUUUCAGCGGGGAGGAAGGUGUUGUGGUUAAUAACCGCAGCAAUUGACGUUACCCGCAGAAGAAGCACCGGCUAACUCCGUGCCAGCAGCCGCGGUAAUACGGAGGGUGCAAGCGUUAAUCGGAAUUACUGGGCGUAAAGCGCACGCAGGCGGUCUGUCAAGUCGGAUGUGAAAUCCCCGGGCUCAACCUGGGAACUGCAUUCGAAA